This is a long non-coding RNA of Hyla sarda, 1495 nucleotides long. RefSeq lists it as uncharacterized. The record is from RefSeq and is a predicted model, not a curated record. NCBI's taxonomy places the organism in Eukaryota, Metazoa, Chordata, Amphibia, Anura, Hylidae. The transcript is spliced from 4 exons.
CUGAUAGUGGAAGCAGCUUGCUUCUAAUUAAAUAUGCCACUGAGUCUCAGAGCAUUUGCUUUCAGCAGCAGAGAGGAGAGGCUGCCCAAGAAUGGGAAGGAAGAGAUAUAUCACAUAAUCUGUUUGUCCACAGUCUUUCCUUGGGGUUUACGAAGCCUGAAUGGGAAUUUUUCACCCUGCUAUUAUAUUCUAUUCAGCAAACAAAAACGUGUCAACUAAGUAAGAUGUGAGUGCAGCACAGAAAACAUGGAGAUGCACAACCCAGGAAGAGGGCAUGUACAGAGACUAAGCACACCAAACCAUAUCUUAUAAGGGUAUCUUCUCUACCUGGUAUCUCGGCUCUUAAGAAAGGACUAAGAUGUUCUUCUUGAACGAUUGAAAAUAACUGUGGAUCACUGCUUUACCAACUAUCCUUGGAACAUGUCUAAACAUUCUAAACUAUGGACAUUACACUUUUAGAACUGUACCGAACAUCCACUGGACUCCAUGCCGCGGUAUUCUCCAAAAUUAUUAUUUGCGGAAGCUGGUAUGCCAACUUAUACCCAGAACAUUGUAUAAUGCAAACAUAGCCUAAUAUGAUCAGUUCACAUGCCUGUUUAUAGCUUUCUACCGAUCUACCUGGCAAUAUAACCAGAGAUAAUCUCAGAACAUGCGUUUAUGGCUUUAGACCUGGACAUCUUGAUUAUAUUGGCCCCAAUGGUUGUUCCUCAGAGAAAGACUGGUUUCAUGGGAGUAUGGGCCAAGUGAAAACUAUUGACCGGACAAGCCAUUAGAUAAGUUUUUGAAGCAGUUCACGCUGUUGAUAAAACAACUGGAAUGGACUACUUCAGUCUCCAAAUAGAAAAUGUUAUUCAGCUGGUAAUGAGACGUGCAAAUUGCCCUUUUUAAGUUUUUCUUUUAUAUAUUUUUUUUGUAUUCAUAUUCCAGACGCCCUUCUGUAGAUGUCACUUUGAGUAGUGAAAAGGGAAAGCUUUGCCUGCAUCCUGCCUGGCUGGGGGGAGGUUGAUUCUGUUUUAUGUGGAUAAUUAUUUUAACCUUUAUAACACAUCCAGACCUGGUAGGUCUAGUUUCUUGCAUUUACCCUGACAUUUACAUCUCAUUUGUACAGUUGUAGCACAACGCUCUGCUGCCAUGUCAGUUCAUGGUCACAGGGGUCUCUAACAUUUCUACCACCCCACAAUCCACAGUCUAAAAUGCUAUUAUUAAGACCUAUGAUGCCUAAAAAUGAGAUUGCAUGGUUAUGACUAGAGUGCUGUAGCCUUAAAUAGUCCUCCAACUGUUUUGAAUGCUAUUAUUAAGUGUCCUGGGGAAAUGCAAAAAUUACCCAGUGAUCCCCAGACUUAAUUUUAUUUAAGCCUUCUGCAGAGUUUAGAGGUCUGUAAUAUAUUCAUUGGACACAGACUCUGGCUUUUAAAAUGCAUGUAUUUUUGUUACAGUUUGGAAACACAUUUUUGCCUAAUGUAUAUAUACGCAAUACUCAUUUUAACACCUCUCA